CUUACAUGCAACUGUAUCGUUAUUAAAUCUGAUAAUUUUGAAGUCAUCGAUGCCAUGAAAAAUAUAGGACGCUCUGCCGGAAUGGCGGCGGUAAUUAUUGAUGAUUGUUAUUAUAUGGCUUGCAAUAUUUUUCACGAUGGUUUCAAACAUUGUACUAGGGAAGCAAAUAAGGUUGCUCAUGAGCUUACUAGGUUUGCUAGAUUUUUUUUGACUAAUGACUGGUUUGAGGAGCCCUUGAGUGAAAUUGUACCCCUCCUCAUAAAUGAUGCACUUGUUAUUACAAAUUUAUAA
This 291-nucleotide ribosomal RNA is filed under the name Triticum aestivum (bread wheat). RNAcentral's name for it is "partial small subunit ribosomal RNA". Lineage: Eukaryota; Viridiplantae; Streptophyta; Magnoliopsida; Poales; Poaceae. The record is from RNAcentral.